RNA transcript from Symphalangus syndactylus (siamang), 6742 nucleotides. It is a transcript of the gene named protein unc-45 homolog B-like, with no coding region annotated. The record is from RefSeq and is a predicted model, not a curated record. NCBI's taxonomy places the organism in Eukaryota, Metazoa, Chordata, Mammalia, Primates, Hylobatidae.
AGGCCAGCCGGCGCCAUUUUGAAAGAGGAGUCGCUUGCUCCUGCUGCCGCUGCCGCAGCCGCAGGAAGCGCACGAGCGGGAGAGCCCCAGAGUGAAAUCUAGCAUCCUGCCGGCUGGUCUGCCUGCCCCCCCUUCCUUUUCCCCCGGCCCCCGUCGCCUCCCCCAGUAGGUGCCAUCCGCCGCCAUCCGCCCUUUCUAACCCCCCAUCCCCAGGUGAGGGGGGUGAGUUCAGGAAGCGGAGACCCCGAGGAACCCAGCAGCGUCACCAUUUGCAGCGCAACAUGGCAGGAGCUGGAGGAGGGAGUGAUGUUCAGUGGUGUUUUUCUCAGGUGAAAGGAGCAGUAGAUGAUGAUGUAGCAGAAGGCUGGAAGACAAUGGCGCGGUCUUGGCUCACUGCAACCUCUGCCUCCUGGGUUCAAGCAAUUCACCUGCCUCAACCUCCCAAGUAACUGGGAUUACAGGCACCCACCACCAAGACUGGCUAAUUUCACAUCAAUGUUUUGACCCAUGAGAUUGGUUUAAAAAAAAAGACAAACGUCUGACAACACACUCAGUUGGCAGGUUGGGGACACACACUUCUUCUGUGGGAGUGAAGACUGGUAUACCCCAACUGGAGGGUGAUUUGGCAAUGUAUAUCAAAAUAACAAAUGAAUUUACCCUAUGACCCAGCAACCUUCACUGGCAAUUUGAGCUGCAAUUAUAUCUGCACCCAUAUGAAACAAUGUACAUACACAGUUAUUGAUUUUAGCAGUAUUUGUCAUUGUAAACAAUUGGAAACAAUCAUGCAUUCGUCUGUAGAGGAUUGAGUAAAUAAAUGUUGGCAUACCCAGAUAUUGAAAUACUGAGCAGCUGUAAAAGAGAAAAUGCCCUAGGUACUAACAAAAGCAAAGAAAAAGUGUCCUAAUUACUGUACUGUAAAAUGAAGAUGUAUUAAGUAAAAGACAAAAGCAAAAUGCAGGACAAUGUAUAUAAUGUGCUAUCUUUUGUGUAUUAAAAAAGAUUGGGAGAAAUAAAAAUAUAAAUUCAUAUUCACUGACAUUUGCAUAAAUAAAUUCUGAACAGACACUCAAAAAAACGGUAAUAAAAGUGGUGCACUGAGAAGAGAGAAUGGGGCAAUUGGCAAGGUUGUUGAUGUGAAGCGAUGAUUACAAGUGUUCUCAGUGUGCUAGAAAUCUGAGGCUUAGCUGACCAGAUCCUUUCGCCUUCAGAGGGGUGCUUGCUUCUAUUCAGUAGAAUUUGAAUUGAUUGCCAGGUGGUGCUGCCUGUUAUCUGCACCUGCUGCAAGGUGGCAGCACUGCUAAGGGCCAAAAAAAAUAAAACGAAGGUCUCAGGUGGCCUGAUAAUUAGGAGAGAUGUCAUUUGAAGCAAUUAGUGCUCAUCUAAGAAAAAUUGGAGGUGACUGUGAGUGUAACCGUGAAAACAUGUUUUUCUGAAUUGAGUCACUUUAUUUCAUGGUUUUAUGGUGCCCUGCACUAAAUCCCAGAGUGCCUGACUAGUCCGUUUGUGUCUGUGUUUGAACCAUAAAAAUAAAAGGGGCAAACUUUUGGUAUUGGGGAACAAGUUAAAAUGCAGAUUCUCUGGCCCUACCUCCAGAUGUAUUGAUUGGAUCUGGAAUGUGGCCCAGAUAUCAGCAUUUUAAACAAACAUUGCAAGUACAGUAACUGUAGCAAAGUUAUCUUUUGAUUACCUCUUGGACCUCACUUGGAAAACACUGAGAUAGAAUAGAUAGUGGUAAUCUGGGCAGACUUAUGAAAGUAAAUUUUCCAAAUUGUCUUUGGCAAAAUUAUUUUCUAGUCACUAGUUGAGUGUUUCUGAGUGACAUUUACAAUGAGAUAUUUUUCUGAAGUGAGAUUUCCCAUUUUCUCUUUUUAUAUAGCACAUGUUAAUUUAUGCUUAUCUGUCUAGAAACUUCAUUUUAGAUUUUUUCAUUUACCACUAAUUAUGUGUAAUUAAUGUUUUAUAAUUUCACCUGUAUUUUUAAAAUCCUUGUGUAGAGAUGGGGACUUACUAUGUUGUUAGGCUGAUCUUCAACUCCUGGCCUCCAGCGAUCCUCUUACUUUGGCUUCCCAGGUGCUGGGAUUACAGGUGUGAGCCACUGUGCCUGGACUGCCCCUGUACUUUUAAUUUCAUUAUAUCCAAAUGAAUAUAAAUAUAGUUUGACAGUUAAAGAUUUGUGAAUAUUUGAAGUAGCAUUGUGCCAAACAGUCUUCCAAGUGAAUAUAUUUGGUUUUUGUUGCCAGCAGUACUUUUUCUUUUUUUCUUUUUUUUUUGAGAUAGUGUCUCACUCGGUUGGCCAGGCUGGAGUGCAGUGGCAUGUGUUGGCUCACUGCAACCUCUGCCUCACAGGUUCAAGCAAUUCUCUCUGCCUCAGCUUCCCAAGUAGCUGGGAUAACAGGUGCUUGCCACCGUGCCUGGCUAAUUUUUGUGUGUGUGUGUGUGUGUUUUGUUUUUUAGUAGAGACAGGGUUUUGCCAUGUUGGCCGGGCUGGUCUUGAACUCCUGAUCUAAGGUGAUCCGCCUGCCUCGGCCUCCCAAAGUGCUGGGAUUACAGGCAUGAGCCACCGCGCCCAGGCCGCCAGCAGUACUUUCUACUGUGCUGUUUUUUUUUUUUUUUUUCUUGAGACGGAGUCUCGCUCUGUGUCGCCCAGACUGGAGUGCAGUGGCGCCAUCUUGGCUCACUGCAGCCUCCACCUCCUGGGUUCCAGUGACUCUUCUGUCUCAGCCUCCCGAGUAACUGGGACUACAGGUGUGUGCCACCACACCCGGCUAAUUUUGUAUUUUUUAGUAGAGAUGGGGUUUCACCAUGUUGGCCAGGCUGGUCUCGAACUCCUGACCUCAGGUAAUCCACCCAUCUUGGCCUCCCAAAGUGCUGGGAUUACAGGCGUGAGCCACCGUGCCUGGCCUGAUCAUCUUUUAGAUAGUACUUUAAUCUAUAACAUGGUUACACGUACAUUAUCUCAUUUUAUUGAUACAUCUCUCUGAAGUGGGACCAUUGAGGUAAUUGAAGUUCAAAGAACUUAAAUGUCUUAAUUGAGUGAGUGACUUUACAGUGGAGCCCUAAUGUGGAACCCCUUCUGGUCUAUACAGUAUGUUGGCAUUUUCAGUUCUCUCUAGUAUAGAAAAGGAGAAGGAAAAUAGGAAAAUCAAAAAGUGGAAUUCAGCCAGUUCUUUGACUUCAUCCAUAUAAUAAAUUGGUAGAAAACUGAUAAAGGGAAGAAUUAGGAUUUUUGAAAACUAUCUCUGUUCACAAGAAAUCAAAGUCAUUUAAGGAGAUACAUAUUUUAAAUGUUAUCUCCUUCCAAAAUAAAAGCAGAAAAAUAUUUUUGAGAACACAAAAUGAUACACGUUUGUAUAUAUCAUGCCCCAUUAUCGUAUAAAUGAAAUGUAAAUAUACUUUGGUAAAGCACUGGAAACUAAAGGCAUAGUGCGUACAAGUGAUAUAACAAUCUUCUUUUAAAAAGUAAUUUCAAUUAGAUAUAUGUAAGUUUUUCUAAAUGCAUUUCUGAGGUGGCAUAAAAUUGAGGAAUGCACAGAGCCCCUCAAUAUAUGAAAAGCCAGAAACUUAGAACUCAAAUAGUGCUAUACCAGUCCGUUACUCUGAGGGUUUCUCCUAAACCCUAAAGAUCUUGAGCUACUUUAACAGUUGCAUGGAGUACAGUGGGCAAGAAAUAACCCCAUGUCUGCCCAGUGAGAGGAAACUAAUAGGAGGCUCCACCAUAAUUCAUUUCUCAUUUACCCUUAUAUUGAGGAUGUAGCUGUUUGGAGCCUGGAUUUCAAACAAUUACAUCCUCAGUAUAAGGGUAAAUGAGAAAUGAAACCGAUUUUAAGUAAGGGGAAUAAAAGAAACUUGCUGGGAGAAACAGGGAAGAAACUUUGAGAAUUUGUAACCAUGAGGCAGUCCUCACACAGGUUUGCAAGCCAAAUAUUUAUUCUGGGAAAAUUCAUAGCAGUCCCAGAUUUGUAUGCCCUAGGUUACCAAUAAAAGCAAAUAUCCAUCACCUCUGGAAGAAUUUAUUUUCAACUCAAACCUUAAAAAAUUAUUGAAGAUAAAGUGCCAAGGAGAAUAAACAGUUAGCAGUAAAAUAUCACAAAACACACAAGGAAACAGGGCACCACGAAUCAGAUACUAGACACAACAGAAACAAACACGUAAUGACCUUAGGUUCUGAAAUUAUCAGAUAGAUAAUUUAAUAUCACUAUGUUUAAUGUGUUCAAAUAAAAAGAAACUUGAAGUAUAAAAGGGAAAAAAUUUUAAAGAGUGGCCAAAAAGAUUUUAAUAAUAAUGAAUCAGAAGUUCUAGAACUGAAUUUAAAACUCAGUGGAUGGAUUAAAUAGCUGAUCAUAUCCAGCUGAAGAAAUGAUUAUUGAAUUAGGCAACCAUUUCGUGUCUUUUUUCUUUCUCCUUAAUCCUCCAUCACCUUUUCAUCUAUCCUUACUCUCAGUUCAUACCUUACUAAAAUUGGGAGCAAUCAGAAGAGAAAUUCCAUAGAGUAACCCACAUCUAUCCAUUUACUAGUCUCUGUACCCACAUAUUUUGACUUCCUGUUGGUUACCGUUGAUGAACCCUGUGCUUUUAUCAAAGGCAGUCCCUUCACUUGUAUGUUAGGUCUCAUUCCUUCUUUCCCACUCACGGACAUGGCUCCAGUAAUCUUCUCUUUCUUUCCUGGAUCAUCAGUUUUUCUUUCUCAAAUGCAAUUUUACUGUCAUCUUGUAUUAGUCCAUUCUUUUUUUUUUUUUUUCCUGGAGUAGAGUCUCACUCUGUCACCCAGGCGGGAGAGCAGUGGCUCAGUCUCAGCUCACUGCAACCUCUGUCUCCCAGGCUCAAGCCGUUCUUAUGCCUCAGCCUCCCAAAUAGCUGGGAUUACAAGCUCCUGCCACAAUGCCCAGCUAAUUUUUGUAUUUUUAGCAGAGAUGGGGUUUUGCCAUGUUGGCCAGGCUGGUCUCAAAUUCCUGACCUCAAGUGAUCUGCCUGCCUUGGCCUCCCAAAGUGCUGGGAUUACAGGCAUGAGCCACUGUGCCUGGCUUAGUCCAUUCUUGUAUUGCUGUAAAGAACUACCUGAGACUGGGUAAUUUUUAAAGAAAAGAGAUUUAAUUGACUCACAGCUGUACAGGAAGCAUGGCUGGGGAGGCCUCAGGAAACUUACAAUCGGGGAAGUGCUGCACACUUUUAAACAACCAGAUCUCAUGAGAACUCACUAUCAGGAGAACAGCAAGGGGGAAGUCUGUCCCCAUGAUUCAAACACCUCCCACCAGCCGAGAUCAUGCCACUGCACUCCAGCCUGGGCCACAGAGUGAGACUCUGUCUCAAAUUAAAAAAAAAAAAAAAAAAAAGCAUGAAGUUCCUAAAUAAAGGCUCUCAUCAUUUUUAACAGAUAUAACUUUAUCUGCUUACCUAACUCUGGAGGGAAUACAAGACCUACCUAUAUCAUUUAACAUGCUAACAACAAAGGUUUAUAUCCUUGGGCCCAUCAGUCACAACUUUUCAGAUUUCAGUUAAAGAUGAGCAAUCUGAAAUAGCAAAAAAUCCAAUCUCCAAACUGAGCUGAACCAAAGCUAACUAGAAUAAUUCUUCCUAAGAUUACUAGUAUGUAGUGACUCAGACAUAGGAAAUCACCAAACAAUGAAAAAACGGCUUAGAAGCCACUGUGCUCCCACCCGCAAGUUUUAAUAACAAAAGAAAAGAAAAUCUCAUUUAAUUACAUAAAGUUUUUCUCAUGACAACCUUGUUGAUAUGUAUGAAGUAUGCCGGGAAGAAAUUUUUUUUUUUAAUAGUAGAUAUUUAAUAAAAAUGUAAACAUUAUAGAAUAAAUUUAUUAAAGGACUCCUAGUGCUUUUAUUAUUUAGGGUUACUUAUACUAACCCUACUUCCAAAAGACUCAGCAAAACUUGAGUCCUGAUAAAUCCAGCUUUUCAAUUACAAACAAAUUACUCAACACAUUUGGCCUUCUCUUGCGCCCUCUUCUGGAUAAAAACUGUUCCUCUUUAGGUUUGUGAGUAAUGUAUUACCAAAGCCUACCUCCACAUGUUACAGACAAAUUUCAAAAAUAUUGUAAUGUUUUCUUGGUUAUUACCAUUAUGCAUGUUAAAGCAACAGUAUUGUGACCAAACCAUACACUCGCCCCAAAUUGUUUACAUUCUGUCAAAACUGCUAAUUCCAGUUUCCUCCUCUUUAUCCACCCCUUCCAAGAUAAGAAAUAUUUGGAGGAAUACCACCUUGAAUGGUUCAGGGGUUGCUUCUUUAUGUAGAGAGAAGUCCGGCAAGAGUAUAUUAACCUGACCGAUGAGAUACAAUGUUUCAAUCUCAACACUAUUGCCUUAUGCAGCCAUAAUAUGGUAGUAUUUUCUCAUCUUUUGAACAAGAUGUAAUGCUAAAAAAUCUAGUUAUAUAGUCCCUAACAGUUUUUAAACUGUUCCAAAUCUUUAGGAUUAAACACCUAAGUCGUGUGUAUGUGUUCACUUCUAUUGCAUACUAUCGGGUCCCUACGAAGUCCCAAAAUGGAAAAUCUAACAUUCUAAUUUCAGUCUUCAAGUUACAAUCUGCAAUAAAAAAGCACUUAGUUUUUCUCCAGCUCUCAACAAUUCCUUCUAUCAAAUUUGAUACGCUGGGUUUAAGAUACGCUUUCUUAGGCUGGGCGCGGUGGCUCACGCUUGUAAUCCCAGCACUUUGGGAGGCCGAGGCGGGCGGAUCACGAGGUCAGGAGAUCGAGACCAUGGUGAAAACCCGUCUCUACUAAAAAUACAAA